UACGUAGGGGGCGAGCGUUAAUCGGAAUUACUGGGCGUAAAGCGUGCGCAGGCGGUCUCAAAAGUCUGAUGUGAAAUCCCCGGGCUCAACCUGGGAACUGCGUUGGAAACUUUGAGGCUAGAGUGCGGCAGAGGGAGGUGGAAUUCCACGUGUAGCAGUGAAAUGCGUAGAGAUGUGGAGGAACACCGAUGGCGAAGGCAGCCUCCUGGGCUGACACUGACGCUCAUGCACGAAAGCGUGGGGAGCAAACCGG
Molecule: ribosomal RNA, 253 nt
Filed under: uncultured bacterium
Lineage: Bacteria
Description: partial 16S ribosomal RNA
Rfam family: Bacterial small subunit ribosomal RNA
Source: RNAcentral